UCGAGAAUCAUUCACAAUGCACGAAAGUGUGAUGAUGCGACGCCGCGUGAAGGAUGAAGGCCCUAGGGUUGUAAACUUCUGUCAGAAGGAAAGAACAGUUCCGUGCGUAAUAUGCACGGAAUUUGACGGUACCUUCAGAGGAAGCCACGGCUAACUCUGUGCCAGCAGCCGCGGUAAUACAGAGGUGGCAAGCGUUGUUCGGAUUUACUGGGCGUAAAGGGUGCGUAGGCGGUUUCGUGUGUCAGAUGUGAAAGCCCAUGGCUCAACCAUGGAAUUGCAUUUGAAACUGCGGAACUCGAGUAUCGGAGAGGUAGAUGGAAUUCUAGGUGUAGCGGUGAAAUGCGUAGAUAUCUAGAAGAACACCAGCGGCGAAAGCGAUCUACUGGACGAAUACUGACGCUGAGGCACGAAAGCCAGGGGAGCGAAGA
Molecule: ribosomal RNA, 428 nt
Filed under: uncultured bacterium
Lineage: Bacteria
Description: bacterial SSU rRNA
Rfam family: Bacterial small subunit ribosomal RNA
Source: RNAcentral